Molecule: ribosomal RNA, 480 nt
Filed under: uncultured bacterium
Lineage: Bacteria
Description: bacterial SSU rRNA
Rfam family: Bacterial small subunit ribosomal RNA
Source: RNAcentral
CAGGCCUAACACAUGCAAGUCGAACGGCAGCGCAGGGGAGCUUGCUCCCUGGGUGGCGAGUGGCGGACGGGUGAGGAAUGCGUCGGAAUCUGCCUUUUUGUGGGGGAUAACGUAGGGAAACUUACGCUAAUACCGCAUACGACCUACGGGUGAAAGCCGGGGACCUUCGGGCCUGGCGCAGAAAGAUGAGCCGACGUCGGAUUAGCUAGUUGGCGGGGUAAAGGCCCACCAAGGCGACGAUCCGUAGCUGGUCUGAGAGGAUGAUCAGCCACACUGGGACUGAGACACGGCCCAGACUCCUACGGGAGGCAGCAGUGGGGAAUAUUGGACAAUGGGCGCAAGCCUGAUCCAGCCAUGCCGCGUGUGUGAAGAAGGCCUUCGGGUUGUAAAGCACUUUUGUACGGGAAGAAAAGCGUUCGGUUAAUACCCGGGCGACCUGACGGUACCGUAAGAAUAAGCACCGGCUAACUUCGUGCCAGC